This is a long non-coding RNA of Gasterosteus aculeatus aculeatus (three-spined stickleback), 307 nucleotides long. NCBI's taxonomy places the organism in Eukaryota, Metazoa, Chordata, Actinopteri, Perciformes, Gasterosteidae. The record is from Ensembl.
AAACCCACAAUGCAGUCAUGGAAGCGUAACGCUCGCCCUCCUGUUCCUCAGCAGGGUGCCUUCUAAGUCUGGGAUGUGAUGUAGAGAAUUGUGCGGAACUGCAGGUCGAUGACGUCGAUGACUUCCACUUGGUCUGAUGACGUCGGCAAGCCCCGAUCGGAUCGGACUUAUCAGAGAGAGAGCGAGGGAUUCAUGGCGUUCGGCAUUCGUAAGCUGUUGCUACUGGGCUCUAGGGAAGAAGACGCAGUCUUUAAACCGAAGACAGAAAAUAUACCUGCAGUACCUGACAUCAUUCAGACAUAUUGGC